RNAcentral lists this ribosomal RNA (428 nucleotides) under Chloroflexota bacterium. RNAcentral's name for it is "Chloroflexi bacterium partial 16S ribosomal RNA". It matches the Rfam family "Bacterial small subunit ribosomal RNA", at positions 355 to 776 of the family's 1533-position model. Lineage: Bacteria; Bacillati; Chloroflexota. The record is from RNAcentral.
UGGGGAAUAUUGCACAAUGGGCGCAAGCCUGAUGCAGCCAUGCCGCGUGUAUGAAGAAGGCCUUCGGGUUGUAAAGUACUUUCAGCGGGGAGGAAGGGAGUAAAGUUAAUACCUUUGCUCAUUGACGUACCCGCAGAAGAAGAACCGGCUAACUCCGUGCCAGCAGCCGCGGUAAUACGGAGGGUGCAAGCGUUAAUCGGAAUUACUGGGCGUAAAGCGCACGCAGGCGGUUUGUUAAGUCAGAUGUGAAAUCCCCGGGCUCAACCUGGGAACUGCAUCUGAUACUGGCAAGCUUGAGUCUCGUAGAGGGGGGUAGAAUUCCAGGUGUAGCGGUGAAAUGCGUAGAGAUCUGGAGGAAUACCGGUGGCGAAGGCGGCCCCCUGGACGAAGACUGACGCUCAGGUGCGAAAGCGUGGGGAGCAAACAGG